GACGAACGCUGGCGGCGUGCUUAACACAUGCAAGUCGAACGGAAAGGCCCUGCUUGCAGGGUACUCGAGUUGCGAACGGGCGAGUAACUCGUGGGUGAUCUGCCCUGCGCUUCGGGAUAAGCCUGGGCAACUGGGUCUAAUACCGGAUAGGAGCCAUUUUUAGCGUGAUGGUUGGAAAGUUUUUUCGGUGUAGGAUGAGCUCGCGGGCUAUCAGCUUGUUGGUGGGGUGAUGGCCUACCAAGGCGGCGACGGGUAGCCGGCCUGCGAGGGUGGACGGCGACACUGAGACUGAGAGACGGCCCAGACGCCGACGGUAGGCAGAUGGGGGGAAGCUUGAACAAGGGACGCAGGCUGGAUGCAGAGGGGCCGCGGGGGGGAUGACGGCCUUCGGGGGGAAGACACCUUGCGCUAGGGACGAAGCUUGUUGUGACGGUACCUAAAGAAGAAGCACCGGCUAACUACGUG
This 465-nucleotide ribosomal RNA is filed under the name uncultured bacterium. Its description in RNAcentral is "partial 16S ribosomal RNA". It matches the Rfam family "Bacterial small subunit ribosomal RNA", at positions 28 to 507 of the family's 1533-position model. The record is from RNAcentral.